Molecule: small RNA, 46 nt
Filed under: Arabidopsis thaliana (thale cress)
Lineage: Eukaryota; Viridiplantae; Streptophyta; Magnoliopsida; Brassicales; Brassicaceae
Description: ATSL061980
Source: RNAcentral
GGUGGUGUGACUGAUAUGCAUAACCAUCAUGUUCUUGUUGUUGAUG